This 455-nucleotide ribosomal RNA is filed under the name uncultured bacterium. RNAcentral describes it as "bacterial SSU rRNA". It matches the Rfam family "Bacterial small subunit ribosomal RNA", at positions 29 to 506 of the family's 1533-position model. The record is from RNAcentral.
AUGAACGCUGGCGGCGUGUUUAAGGCAUGCAAGUCGAAUGGUUAGUAGCAAUACUGGCCAUGGCAAACGGGAGAGUAACACAUUGAUAACUCACCCAGACGACGAGCAUAACCCUGCGAAAGCGGGGAUAAUACUCGAUAAGAAUGAGGGUACAAAAGUCAUUCUCAUUUAAAGUUCCAACGCUUCUGGAGAGGUCUAUGUCCUAUCAGCUAGUUGGUGAGGUAAUGGCUCACCAAGGCUACGACAGGUAGCGGGUGUGAGAGCAUGACCCGUCUCACUGGGGCUGAGACACUGCCCAGACUCCUACGGGAGGCUGCAGUCAAGAAUCUUCCACAAUGGCCGAAAGGCUGAUGGAGCGACGCCGCGUGUAUGAUGACGCCCUUCGGGGUGUAAAGUACUUUUCUCUGGGAAGAAACAAUGACGGUACCAGAGGAAUAAGGAGCUGCUAACCUCGU